RNAcentral lists this long non-coding RNA (1697 nucleotides) under Capsicum annuum. RNAcentral's name for it is "long non-coding RNA (CANN_LNC006458)". The record is from RNAcentral. Lineage: Eukaryota; Viridiplantae; Streptophyta; Magnoliopsida; Solanales; Solanaceae.
UGAAAAAUCAGGGGCAAUUACCACGGAAUACAUUAAAAUUCAAUAUAUGACCAUUUGCCUAAAUUUUGUGCAACAUGUAAUAUUUAGGGGCACAACACAAGCAAUUAUCGGAUAUUUCACCCAGAUUAAGGCCACAAAAAUGGAGCAAUAAUGAAACAAACUCACAAACAUCAAAAGAAGGUUCUCCAAAGAAGCAUAGGAAGCAACAACAAGAAGUAUUCCCUUCAAGAAAACUGACAAGCGGUAGAAUUAUUGGAGAUCCAAUUGCCCAAAAAGAAACAAAAGUCAAGCAUCAAGAUGAUAAGGAUAGGCCUACGAGUGUAACACGUAAUAACUCUAAUGCUAACAAAGAUAUUGCAAUUAAAAAUAAGUUUGACACCUUGAAUUAACACGCAGAACAACAAGUAGAGGUAGCUCAUUAAGGAGGGAAAGAUGGGGUCAACUCAGGAAAAGAAAAAUCUGAAGGUGGCGGAUUCACUUGCGAAAAAUACAGAAAUGGAUGAUAAAACUGAUGAGCUAGUGGAGGAGGUGGAAGAGAAAGAGGAGAAUUUCAAUACUCCUUUGGGAAAAGAUGAUUGUAUUUAGGGCUGGCAAUUUCAGCUCAUAUUUGUGAAAAGAGUUCAUUUAACCCAUAUUUAUUGAAUUGGAUCACUCAUAUUUCAAAUGGCUAAAUAUGAACUUCAACUCAUUUUAAAAGCUCAUACAAAUAUGGACAAAAUAGGUAAAAUAUGGGUACCCAUUUAAACACAGAAAUACCCACCUAUGCUUAAAAUUUCAGGGUUAUUUUUCUUUUCUAGUUUCUUUUCUUCUUUUCUUUUGUUUUUUCUUUCUUUUUUCCUUUAAUUUACUUUUUUUCUUUUUCAUUUUUACUCAUUUCUUAUAAUUUCUUUUUUUCUUUCUCAUUUUUCAUCUAUUUUUUUAUUUUUUUUCUUUUUUCUUUGUAUUUUUUUCGUUUUCCCCUUUCUCAUUUCACUUGAGACCUACAUGGAUUAAUUAAUUUAAGCUUCUGGUUAUUUCAUUUAGCCUAUACAAUUUAUAGCAUCUCUUAUCAAUUAAAUAUAAUUCAUAGUCUCACUCCUUUAUUAUUAUUUUUUUCUAUCUUUUAUUUCUCUUUCUUUUUUUUCUUUUCCAAUUUUUUUCUUUCUUUUUUCUUUAAUUUACUAUUUUUUCUUCUUUUUCCUUUAAUUUACUUCUUUUUCUUUUUCAUUUUUUUGUUUUUUUCCACUUAUUUUUUAUUCGUUUCUUACACUUUUUUCUUUCUUCUAUUUCAUCAUUUUUUUUCUUUUUCAAUUUUAUUUCUUUUUUCUUCGCAUUCUUUUUUUUUUUGUAUUUCCAUUUUCCCCUUUUUCAUUCUUGGUUCAUCAUGUCAUUUUUCUUUUUCUUUUUAUAUAUUUUUUUCCUCAUCUUUUUUUUCAUCGCAUUUUAUAUUUUAUAGUUUUUUUUACUUUAAAUUUAUUUGUAUCGUAUUAUAUAUUUCAAAUAAUUUUAUUAUUUGUAUUUGAAUAGCUUAGUUGUCAAUAUAUACAAUUUAUCAUUUGUAUUUUUAUACAAAUAAGUGUAUGAAUUAAUUGUAUUUUUCUCGAUACUAAAAUAUAUAAAUAUACAAUGUAUCAUUCAAUGCAAAUGUCAUUAGUAUUUGUAUAUCAAAUUUAUCAUUUAUAUUUGUAUAUAAACAAGUAUCAUUAGUAUGUGUAUGG